GACGAACGCUGGCGGCGUGCUUAACACAUGCAAGUCGAACGGAAAGGCCCUGCUUUUGUGGGGUGCUCGAGUGGCGAACGGGUGAGUAACACGUGAGUAACCUGCCCUUGACUUUGGGAUAACUUCAGGAAACUGGGGCUAAUACCGGAUAGGAGCUCCUGCUGCAUGGUGGGGGUUGGAAAGUUUCGGCGGUUGGGGAUGGACUCGCGGCUUAUCAGCUUGUUGGUGGGGUAGUGGCUUACCAAGGCUUUGACGGGUAGCCGGCCUGAGAGGGUGACCGGCCACAAUGGGACUGAGAUACGGCCCAGACUCCUACGGGAGGCAGCAGUGGGGAAUAUUGCACAAUGGGCGGAAGCCUGAUGCAGCAACGCCGCGUGCGGGAUGACGGCCUUCGGGUUGUAAACCGCUUUCGCCUGUGACGAAGCGUGAGUGACGGUAAUGGGUAAAGAAGCACCAGCUAACUACGUG
RNAcentral lists this ribosomal RNA (468 nucleotides) under uncultured bacterium. RNAcentral describes it as "partial 16S ribosomal RNA". It matches the Rfam family "Bacterial small subunit ribosomal RNA", at positions 28 to 507 of the family's 1533-position model. The record is from RNAcentral.